CCAGCAGCUGCGGUAAUACGUAGGGUGCAAGCGUUAAUCGGAAUUACUGGGCGUAAAGCGUGCGCAGGCGGUUAUAUAAGUCAGAUGUGAAAUCCCCGGGCUCAACCUGGGAACUGCAUUUGAGACUGUAUGGCUAGAGUGUGUCAGAGGGGGGUAGAAUUCCACGUGUAGCAGUGAAAUGCGUAGAUAUGUGGAGGAAUACCGAUGGCGAAGGCAGCCCCCUGGGAUAACACUGACGCUCAUGCACGAAAGCGUGGGGAGCAAACAGGAUUAGAUACCCUGGUAGUCCACGCCCUAAACGAUGUCUACUAGUUGUCGGGACUUAAUUGUCUUGGUAACGCAGCUAACGCGUGAAGUAGACCGCCUGGGGAGUACGGUCGCAAGAUUAAAACUCAAAGGAAUUGACGGGGACCCGCACAAGCGGUGGAUGAUGUGGAUUAAUUCGAUGCAACGCGAAAAACCUUACCUACCCUUGACAUGUACGAAAGCUCGAAGAGAUUUGAGUGUGCUCGCAAG
RNAcentral lists this ribosomal RNA (516 nucleotides) under uncultured Undibacterium sp. Its description in RNAcentral is "bacterial SSU rRNA". It matches the Rfam family "Bacterial small subunit ribosomal RNA", at positions 508 to 1024 of the family's 1533-position model. The record is from RNAcentral. Lineage: Bacteria; Pseudomonadati; Pseudomonadota; Betaproteobacteria; Burkholderiales; Oxalobacteraceae.